AGUGAACGCUGGCGGCAGGCCUAACACAUGCAAGUCGAACGGCAGCACAGGGGUAGCAAUACCCUGGGUGGCGAGUGGCGGACGGGUGAGUAAUGCGUAGGAAUCUACCUUCAAGUGGGGGAUAGCCCGGAGAAAUCCGGAUUAAUACCGCAUGUUCUCUAUGGAGAAAAGCGGGCCUCUGUUUCAAGCUCGCGCUUGAAGAUGAGCCUACGUCGGAUUAGCUAGNGGUAGGGUAAAGGCCUACCAAGGCGACGAUCCGUAGCUGGUUUGAGAGGAUGAUCAGCCACACUGGGACUGAGACACGGCCCAGACUCCUACGGGAGGCAGCAGUGGGGAAUAUUGGACAAUGGGCGCAAGCCUGAUCCAGCAAUGCCGCGUGUGUGAAGAAGGCCUGCGGGUUGUAAAGCACUUUUAUCGGAAAGAAAGCUUAGGGCUAAUACCUCUAAGCCUUGACGGUACCCGUUGAAUAAGCACCGGCUAACUCCGU
Molecule: ribosomal RNA, 487 nt
Filed under: uncultured bacterium
Lineage: Bacteria
Description: bacterial SSU rRNA
Rfam family: Bacterial small subunit ribosomal RNA
Source: RNAcentral